GGCUCAGAUUGAACGCUGGCGGCAGGCUUAACACAUGCAAGUCGAACGAUGAYUWUCYAGCUUGCUAGRRAUGAUUAGUGGCGGACGGGUGAGUAACAUUUAGGAAUCUGCCUAGUAGUGGGGGAUAGCUCGGGGAAACUCGAAUUAAUACCGCAUACGACCUACGGGUGAAAGGGGGCGCAAGCUCUUGCUAUUAGAUGAGCCUAAAUCAGAUUAGCUAGUUGGUGGGGUAAAGGCCCACCAAGGCGACGAUCUGUAACUGGUCUGAGAGGAUGAUCAGUCACACCGGAACUGAGACACGGUCCGGACUCCUACGGGAGGCAGCAGUGGGGAAUAUUGGACAAUGGGGGCAACCCUGAUCCAGCCAUGCCGCGUGUGUGAAGAAGGCCUUUUGGUUGUAAAGCACUUUAAGCAGGGAGGAGAGGCUAAUGGUUAAUACCCAUUAGAUUAGACGUAC
RNAcentral lists this ribosomal RNA (457 nucleotides) under Enhydrobacter sp. R-45684. RNAcentral's name for it is "bacterial SSU rRNA". It matches the Rfam family "Bacterial small subunit ribosomal RNA", at positions 21 to 478 of the family's 1533-position model. Lineage: Bacteria; Pseudomonadati; Pseudomonadota; Alphaproteobacteria; Hyphomicrobiales. The record is from RNAcentral.